AAUCCAUAGGUUAAUGAGGCGAACCGGGGGAACUGAAACAUCUAAGUACCCCGAGGAAAAGAAAUCAACCGAGAUUCCCCCAGUAGCGGCGAGCGAACGGGGAGGAGCCCAGAGCCUGAAUCAGCAUGUGUGUUAGUGGAAGCGUCUGGAAAGGCGCGCGAUACAGGGUGACAGCCCCGUACACAAAAGCGCAUGUGCUGUGAGCUCGAUGAGUAGGGCGGGACACGUGGUAUCCUGUCUGAAUAUGGGGGGACCAUCCUCCAAGGCUAAAUACUCCUGACUGACCGAUAGUGAACCAGUACCGUGAGGGAAAGGCGAAAAGAACCCCGGCGAGGGGAGUGAAAAAGAACCUGAAACCGUGUACGUACAAGCAGUGGGAGCACAGGUUUACCUGUGUGACUGCGUACCUUUUGUAUAAUGGGUCAGCGACUUAUAUUCUGUAGCAAGGUUAACCGAAUAGGGGAGCCGGAGGGAAACCGAGUCUUAAUUGGGCGUUAAGUUGCAGGGUAUAGACCCGAAACCCGGUGAUCUAGCCAUGGGCAGGUUGAAGGUUGGGUAACACUAACUGGAGGACCGAACCGACUAAUGUUGAAAAAUUAGCGGAUGACCUGUGGCUGGGGGUGAAAGGCCAAUCAAACCGGGAGAUAGCUGGUUCUCCCCGAAAGCUAUUUAGGUAGCGCCUCGUGAAUUCAUCUCCGGGGGUAGAGCACUGUUUCGGCUAGGGGGCCAUCCCGGCUUACCAACCCGAUGCAAACUGCGAAUACCGGAGAAUGUUAUCACGGGAGACACACGGCGGGUGCUAACGUCCGUCGUGAAGAGGGAAACAACCCAGACCGCCAGCUAAGGUCCCAAAGUCAUGGUUAAGUGGGAAACGAUGUGGGAAGGCCCAGACAGCCAGGAUGUUGGCUUAGAAGCAGCCAUCAUUUAAAGAAAGCGUAAUAGCUCACUGGUCGAGUCGGCCUGCGCGGAAGAUGUAACGGGGCUAAACCAUGCACCGAAGCUGCGGCAGCGAACGUAUCACUUAAAGCGAUUCAGCGGGUUACGAUUGACGGAGCGAAGCGACGUCAAAGCGUAUACAAAGUCGAGUCGGUUUAAGGAUACGUUCGUUGGGUAGGGGAGCGUUCUGUAAGCCUGUGAAGGUGGCCUGUGAGGGUUGCUGGAGGUAUCAGAAGUGCGAAUGCUGACAUAAGUAACGAUAAAGCGGGUGAAAAGCCCGCUCGCCGGAAGACCAAGGGUUCCUGUCCAACGUUAAUCGGGGCAGGGUGAGUCGACCCCUAAGGCGAGGCCGAAAGGCGUAGUCGAUGGGAAACGGGUUAAUAUUCCCGUACUUGGUGUUACUGCGAAGGGGGGACGGAGAAGGCUAUGUUGGCCGGGCGACGGUUGUCCCGGUUUAAGCGUGUAGGCUGGUUUUCCAGGCAAAUCCGGAAAAUCAAGGCUGAGGCGUGAUGACGAGGCACUACGGUGCUGAAGCAACAAAUGCCCUGCUUCCAGGAAAAGCCUCUAAGCAUCAGGUAACAUCAAAUCGUACCCCAAACCGACACAGGUGGUCAGGUAGAGAAUACCAAGGCGCUUGAGAGAACUCGGGUGAAGGAACUAGGCAAAAUGGUGCCGUAACUUCGGGAGAAGGCACGCUGACACGUAGGUGAAGUGAUUUACUCACGGAGCUGAAGUCAGUCGAAGAUACCAGCUGGCUGCAACUGUUUAUUAAAAACACAGCACUGUGCAAACACGAAAGUGGACGUAUACGGUGUGACGCCUGCCCGGUGCCGGAAGGUUAAUUGAUGGGGUCAGCGCAAGCGAAGCUCCUGAUCGAAGCCCCGGUAAACGGCGGCCGUAACUAUAACGGUCCUAAGGUAGCGAAAUUCCUUGUCGGGUAAGUUCCGACCUGCACGAAUGGCGUAAUGAUGGCCAGGCUGUCUCCACCCGAGACUCAGUGAAAUUGAACUCGCUGUGAAGAUGCAGUGUACCCGCGGCAAGACGGAAAGACCCCGUGAACCUUUACUAUAGCUUGACACUGAACAUUGAGCCUUGAUGUGUAGGAUAGGUGGGAGGCUUUGAAGCGUGGACGCCAGUCUGCGUGGAGCCGACCUUGAAAUACCACCCUUUAAUGUUUGAUGUUCUAACGUGGACCCGUAAUCCGGGUUGCGGACAGUGUCUGGUGGGUAGUUUGACUGGGGCGGUCUCCUCCUAAAGAGUAACGGAGGAGCACGAAGGUUGGCUAAUCCUGGUCGGACAUCAGGAGGUUAGUGCAAUGGCAUAAGCCAGCUUGACUGCGAGCGUGACGGCGCGAGCAGGUGCGAAAGCAGGUCAUAGUGAUCCGGUGGUUCUGAAUGGAAGGGCCAUCGCUCAACGGAUAAAAGGUACUCCGGGGAUAACAGGCUGAUACCGCCCAAGAGUUCAUAUCGACGGCGGUGUUUGGCACCUCGAUGUCGGCUCAUCACAUCCUGGGGCUGAAGUAGGUCCCAAGGGUAUGGCUGUUCGCCAUUUAAAGUGGUACGCGAGCUGGGUUUAGAACGUCGUGAGACAGUUCGGUCCCUAUCUGCCGUGGGCGCUGGAGAACUGAGGGGGGCUGCUCCUAGUACGAGAGGACCGGAGUGGACGCAUCACUGGUGUUCGGGUUGUCAUGCCAAUGGCACUGCCCGGUAGCUAAAUGCGGAAGAGAUAAGUGCUGAAAGCAUCUAAGCACGAAACUUGCCCCGA
This 2700-nucleotide ribosomal RNA is filed under the name Salmonella enterica subsp. enterica serovar Newport. RNAcentral's name for it is "partial 23S ribosomal RNA". It matches the Rfam family "Bacterial large subunit ribosomal RNA". Lineage: Bacteria; Pseudomonadati; Pseudomonadota; Gammaproteobacteria; Enterobacterales; Enterobacteriaceae. The record is from RNAcentral.